GACGUAGGAGGCGAGCGUUGUCCGGAUUCAUUGGGCGUAAAGAGCACGCAGGCGGUUUUGUAAGCCAGAUGUGAAAUCCCCGGGCUUAACCUGGGAAUGGCAUUUGGGACUGCAAGGCUGGAGUUUGGCAGAGGAGACUGGAAUUCCCGGUGUAGCAGUGAAAUGCGUAGAUAUCGGGAGGAAUACCGAUGGCGAAGGCAGGUCUCUGGGCUAUAACUGACGCUCAUGCACGAAAGCGUGGGGAGCAAACAGG
Molecule: ribosomal RNA, 253 nt
Filed under: uncultured bacterium
Lineage: Bacteria
Description: partial 16S ribosomal RNA
Rfam family: Bacterial small subunit ribosomal RNA
Source: RNAcentral